This 490-nucleotide ribosomal RNA is filed under the name uncultured bacterium. RNAcentral's name for it is "partial 16S ribosomal RNA". It matches the Rfam family "Bacterial small subunit ribosomal RNA", at positions 30 to 507 of the family's 1533-position model. The record is from RNAcentral.
UGAACGCUGGCGGUAGGCCUACCACAUGCACGUCGAACGGCAGCACAGUAAGAGCUUGCCCUUACGGGUGGCGAGUGGCGGACGGGUGAGGAAUACAUCGGAAUCUACUUUUUCGUGGGGGAUAACGUAGGGAAACUUACGCUAAUACCGCAUACGACCUACGGGUGAAAGCAGGGGAUCUUCGGACCUUGCGCGAUUGAAUGAGCCGAUGUCGGAUUAGCUAGUUGGCGGGGUAAAGGCCCACCAAGGCGACGAUCCGUAGCUGGUCUGAGAGGAUGAUCAGCCACACUGGAACUGAGACACGGUCCAGACUCCUACGGGAGGCAGCAGUGGGGAAUAUUGGACAAUGGGCGCAAGCCUGAUCCAGCCAUACCGCGUGGGUGAAGAAGGCCUUCGGGUUGUAAAGCCCUUUUGUUGGGAAAGAAAAGCAGCAGGUUAAUACCCCGUUGUUCUGACGGUACCCAAAGAAUAAGCACCGGCUAACUUCGUG